Molecule: long non-coding RNA, 258 nt
Filed under: Lathyrus oleraceus (garden pea)
Lineage: Eukaryota; Viridiplantae; Streptophyta; Magnoliopsida; Fabales; Fabaceae
Description: Pisum sativum (pea) long non-coding RNA (PSAT_LNC040259)
Source: RNAcentral
UUAUUUAUUUUCAAAAAGUAAUUUUAACUUCAAAUGGGACAGCGAGAGCGUACAUUCUGACUUAAAGCUAUAGGCCGAAUCAACAAUCACGAGAGUAUGAGAUAAAGCCUUUUAAAUAAAUAUUUUCUACUGAGAGAUAUUUGGCAUUUAAACUAUUCACCGGUGACUUAUCGAAUCCCUGACAAUUAGUGCGUUGCAUACUUAUUCCUUCCAUCAAUUCUUUCUUAAAACUAAAUUCCCCUUAGAUCUAAUAUUCUG